This 1238-nucleotide ribosomal RNA is filed under the name Chaetodermella luna. RNAcentral describes it as "eukaryotic LSU rRNA". The stretch from base 302 to 1238 matches the Rfam family "Eukaryotic large subunit ribosomal RNA", at positions 1 to 953 of the family's 3401-position model. The record is from RNAcentral. Lineage: Eukaryota; Fungi; Basidiomycota; Agaricomycetes; Gloeophyllales; Gloeophyllaceae.
AUAAGUAAUGUGAAUUGCAGAAUUCAGUGAAUCAUCGAAUCUUUGAACGCACCUUGCGCUCCUUGGUAUUCCGAGGAGCAUGCCUGUUUGAGUGUCAUGAAAUUCUCAACCCACCCAGCUUUGUUGUUGCGGUGGGCUUGGACUUGGAGGCUUGCGGGCNCCUUUGGAGUCGGCUCCUCUCUAAAUGCAUUAGCUGGACCCGUUUGCGGACCGGUGCUCGGUGUGAUAAUUGUCUACGCCGUCUCCGAGAAGCACUUGAGUGGAUCGGCUUCAAACCGUCUUCGGACAAUCAUUGACAUUUUGACCUCAAAUCAGGUAGGACUACCCGCUGAACUUAAGCAUAUCAAUAAGCGGAGGAAAAGAAACUAACAAGGAUUCCCCUAGUAACUGCGAGUGAAGCGGGAAAAGCUCAAAUUUAAAAUCUGGCGGUCUUGAUCGUCCGAGUUGUAUUCUGGAGAAGUGCUUUCCGCGCUGGACCGUGUAUAAGUCUCUUGGAACAGAGCGUCAUAGAGGGUGAGAAUCCCGUCUUUAACACGGACUACCAGUGCUUUGUGAUGCGCUCUCAAAGAGUCGAGUUGUUUGGGAAUGCAGCUCAAAAUGGGUGGUAAAUUCCAUCUAAAGCUAAAUAUUGGCGAGAGACCGAUAGCGAACAAGUACCGUGAGGGAAAGAUGAAAAGCACUUUGGAAAGAGAGUUAAACAGUACGUGAAAUUGUUGAAAGGGAAACGCUUGAAGUCAGUCGCGUCGUCCGGGACUCAGCCUUGCCUUUCGCUUGGUGUAUUUUCCGGUUGACGGGCCAGCAUCGAUUUUGACCGCCGGACAAAGGCUAGCGGAAUGUGGCACCUCCGGGUGUGUUAUAGCCGCUGGUCAUAUACGGUGGUUGGGAUCGAGGACCGCAGCUUCGGCUUAGGAUGCUGGCGUAAUGGCUUUAAACGACCNGUCUUGAAACACGGACCAAGGAGUCUAACAUGCCCGCGAGUGUUUGGGUGGAAAACCCGAGCGCGUAAUGAAAGUGAAAGUUGAGACCUCUGUCGCGGAGGGCAUCGACGCCCGGACCUGAUCUUCGGUGACGGAUCUGCGGUAGAGCGUGUAUGUUGGGACCCGAAAGAUGGUGAACUAUGCCUGAAUAGGGUGAAGCCAGAGGAAACUCUGGUGGAGGCUCGUAGCGAUUCUGACGUGCAAAUCGAUCGUCAAAUUUGGGUAUAGGGGCGAAAGACUAAUCGAACCAUCUAGUAGCUG